Molecule: ribosomal RNA, 301 nt
Filed under: uncultured bacterium
Lineage: Bacteria
Description: partial 16S ribosomal RNA
Rfam family: Bacterial small subunit ribosomal RNA
Source: RNAcentral
CAGCAGCCACGGUAAUACGUAGGGUGCGAGCGUUAAUCGGAAUUACUGGGCGUAAAGCGUGCGCAGGCGGUUGUGUAAGACAGGUGUGAAAUCCCCGGGCUUAACCUGGGAACUGCGCUUGUGACUGCACAGCUAGAGUAUGGCAGAGGGGGGUGGAAUUCCACGUGUAGCAGUGAAAUGCGUAGAGAUGUGGAGGAACACCGAUGGCGAAGGCAGCCCCCUGGGCCAAUACUGACGCUCAUGCACGAAAGCGUGGUGAGCAAACAGGAUUAGAUACCCGGGUAGUCCCUGUCUCUUAUAA